ACCCAGUGUGAUUCGUCACACUAUCAUUAACUGAAUCCAUAGGUUAAUGAGGCGAACCGGGGGAACUGAAACAUCUAAGUACCCCGAGGAAAAGAAAUCAACCGAGAUUCCCCCAGUAGCGGCGAGCGAACGGGGAGGAGCCCAGAGCCUGAAUCAGCAUGUGUGUUAGUGGAAGCGUCUGGAAAGGCGCGCGAUACAGGGUGACAGCCCCGUACACAAAAGCGCAUGUGCUGUGAGCUCGAUGAGUAGGGCGGGACACGUGGUAUCCUGUCUGAAUAUGGGGGGACCAUCCUCCAAGGCUAAAUACUCCUGACUGACCGAUAGUGAACCAGUACCGUGAGGGAAAGGCGAAAAGAACCCCGGCGAGGGGAGUGAAAAAGAACCUGAAACCGUGUACGUACAAGCAGUGGGAGCACCCUUUGGGUGUGACUGCGUACCUUUUGUAUAAUGGGUCAGCGACUUAUAUUCUGUAGCAAGGUUAACCGAAUAGGGGAGCCGGAGGGAAACCGAGUCUUAAUUGGGCGUUAAGUUGCAGGGUAUAGACCCGAAACCCGGUGAUCUAGCCAUGGGCAGGUUGAAGGUUGGGUAACACUAACUGGAGGACCGAACCGACUAAUGUUGAAAAAUUAGCGGAUGACCUGUGGCUGGGGGUGAAAGGCCAAUCAAACCGGGAGAUAGCUGGUUCUCCCCGAAAGCUAUUUAGGUAGCGCCUCGUGAAUUCAUCUCCGGGGGUAGAGCACUGUUUCGGCUAGGGGGCCAUCCCGGCUUACCAACCCGAUGCAAACUGCGAAUACCGGAGAAUGUUAUCACGGGAGACACACGGCGGGUGCUAACGUCCGUCGUGAAGAGGGAAACAACCCAGACCGCCAGCUAAGGUCCCAAAGUCAUGGUUAAGUGGGAAACGAUGUGGGAAGGCCCAGACAGCCAGGAUGUUGGCUUAGAAGCAGCCAUCAUUUAAAGAAAGCGUAAUAGCUCACUGGUCGAGUCGGCCUGCGCGGAAGAUGUAACGGGGCUAAACCAUGCACCGAAGCUGCGGCAGCGACGCUUAUGCGUUGUUGGGUAGGGGAGCGUUCUGUAAGCCUGCGAAGGUGGCCUGUGAGGGUUGCUGGAGGUAUCAGAAGUGCGAAUGCUGACAUAAGUAACGAUAAAGCGGGUGAAAAGCCCGCUCGCCGGAAGACCAAGGGUUCCUGUCCAACGUUAAUCGGGGCAGGGUGAGUCGACCCCUAAGGCGAGGCCGAAAGGCGUAGUCGAUGGGAAACGGGUUAAUAUUCCCGUACUUGGUGUUACUGCGAAGGGGGGACGGAGAAGGCUAUGUUGGCCGGGCGACGGUUGUCCCGGUUUAAGCGUGUAGGUGUGUGUUCCAGGUAAAUCCGGUUCACUUUAACACUGAGGCGUGACGACGAGGCACUACGGUGCUGAAGCAACAAAUGCCCUGCUUCCAGGAAAAGCCUCUAAGCAUCAGGUAACAUCAAAUCGUACCCCAAACCGACACAGGUGGUCAGGUAGAGAAUACCAAGGCGCUUGAGAGAACUCGGGUGAAGGAACUAGGCAAAAUGGUGCCGUAACUUCGGGAGAAGGCACGCUGACACGUAGGUGAAGUGAUUUACUCAUGGAGCUGAAGUCAGUCGAAGAUACCAGCUGGCUGCAACUGUUUAUUAAAAACACAGCACUGUGCAAACACGAAAGUGGACGUAUACGGUGUGACGCCUGCCCGGUGCCGGAAGGUUAAUUGAUGGGGUCAGCGCAAGCGAAGCUCCUGAUCGAAGCCCCGGUAAACGGCGGCCGUAACUAUAACGGUCCUAAGGUAGCGAAAUUCCUUGUCGGGUAAGUUCCGACCUGCACGAAUGGCGUAAUGAUGGCCAGGCUGUCUCCACCCGAGACUCAGUGAAAUUGAACUCGCUGUGAAGAUGCAGUGUACCCGCGGCAAGACGGAAAGACCCCGUGAACCUUUACUAUAGCUUGACACUGAACAUUGAGCCUUGAUGUGUAGGAUAGGUGGGAGGCUUUGAAGUGUGGACGCCAGUCUGCAUGGAGCCGACCUUGAAAUACCACCCUUUAAUGUUUGAUGUUCUAACGUGGACCCGUUACCCGGGUUGCGGACAGUGUCUGGUGGGUAGUUUGACUGGGGCGGUCUCCUCCUAAAGAGUAACGGAGGAGCACGAAGGUUGGCUAAUCCUGGUCGGACAUCAGGAGGUUAGUGCAAUGGCAUAAGCCAGCUUGACUGCGAGCGUGACGGCGCGAGCAGGUGCGAAAGCAGGUCAUAGUGAUCCGGUGGUUCUGAAUGGAAGGGCCAUCGCUCAACGGAUAAAAGGUACUCCGGGGAUAACAGGCUGAUACCGCCCAAGAGUUCAUAUCGACGGCGGUGUUUGGCACCUCGAUGUCGGCUCAUCACAUCCUGGGGCUGAAGUAGGUCCCAAGGGUAUGGCUGUUCGCCAUUUAAAGUGGUACGCGAGCUGGGUUUAGAACGUCGUGAGACAGUUCGGUCCCUAUCUGCCGUGGGCGCUGGAGAACUGAGGGGGGCUGCUCCUAGUACGAGAGGACCGGAGUGGACGCAUCACUGGUGUUCGGGUUGUCAUGCCAAUGGCACUGCCCGGUAGCUAAAUGCGGAAGAGAUAAGUGCUGAAAGCAUCUAAGCACGAAACUUGCCCCGAG
This 2652-nucleotide ribosomal RNA is filed under the name Salmonella enterica subsp. enterica serovar Enteritidis. Its description in RNAcentral is "partial 23S ribosomal RNA". It matches the Rfam family "Bacterial large subunit ribosomal RNA". The record is from RNAcentral. Lineage: Bacteria; Pseudomonadati; Pseudomonadota; Gammaproteobacteria; Enterobacterales; Enterobacteriaceae.